GAUAUUGCGACAAUGGGCGAAAGCCUGACGCAGCAACGCCGCGUGCGGGAGGAAGGCCUUCGGGUUGUAAACCGCUUUUCGGGGGGAAGAGAGAGGACGGUACCCCCGGAAUAAGUCUCGGCUAACUACGUGCCAGCAGCCGCGGUAAAACGUAGGAGGCGAACGUUAUCCGGAUUUACUGGGUGUAAAGCGCGUGCAGGCGGUGGCGUAAGUUGUGCGUGAAAGCGCCCGGCUCAACCGGGCGAGGACGUGCAAAACUGCGCGGCUAGAGGGAGUAGAGGCGUGUGGAAUUCCGGGUGUAGUGGUGAAAUGCGUAGAUAUCCGGAGGAACACCAAUGGCGAAGGCGACACGCUGGGCCUUACCUGACGCUAAGACGCGAAAGCAUGGGGAGCGAACGGGAUUAGAAACCCCGGUAGUCCAUGCCGUAAACGAUGCUGACUAGGUGUUGUUCUCCUUCGGAGGGCAGUGCCGAAGCUAACGUGAUAAGUCAGCCACCUGGGGAGUACGGCCGCAAGGUUAAAACUCAAAGGAAUUGACGGGGGCCCGCACAAGCAGCGGAGCGUGUGGUUUAAUUCGAGGCUACACGAAGAACCUUACCUGGGCUUGACAUGACGGUGGUAGGGAAGCGAAAGCGGACCGACCUUCGGGAGCCGUCACAGGUGCUGCAUGGCUGUCGUCAGCUCGUGUCGUGAGAUGUCCAGUUAAGUCUGGUAACGAGCGCAACCCUCAUCGUCAGUUACAGGUGUCUGGCGAGACUGCCCGUUGAACGCGGGAGGAAGGCGGGGAUGACGUCAAGUCAGCAUGGCCUUUAUGUCCAGGGCUACACACACGCUACAAUGGCCGGUACAAUGGGUCGCCAACCCGCGAGGGGGAGCCAAUCCACCAAAGCCGGUCUCAGUUCGGAUUGCAGGCUGCAACCCGCCUGCAUGAAGUCGGAGUUGCUAGUAACCGCAGGUCAGCUAUACUGCGGUGAUACGUUCCCGGGCCUUGUACACACCGCCCGUCACGUCACGGAAGCUGGUCAUGCCUGAAGUCGGUGGGCUAACCGCAAGGAGGCACCGCCUAAGGCAGGGCUGGUGACUGGG
This 1086-nucleotide ribosomal RNA is filed under the name uncultured organism. Its description in RNAcentral is "bacterial SSU rRNA". It matches the Rfam family "Bacterial small subunit ribosomal RNA", at positions 359 to 1479 of the family's 1533-position model. The record is from RNAcentral.